RNAcentral lists this unclassified non-coding RNA (1470 nucleotides) under Hevea brasiliensis (rubber tree). The record is from RNAcentral. Lineage: Eukaryota; Viridiplantae; Streptophyta; Magnoliopsida; Malpighiales; Euphorbiaceae.
GUUUGGUUGAUAUCAGAUCUUUGCUGCUUUGAUGAAUCUAUUUAGCAGGGAUGAGUUGUAUAAAAUCCAAUCCUCUGCAGGGAUUCCAUCUCAAUCCAGUGGUACCUCAGGAUGAAUUUUUCUGCAACUACUAAAAGGUGAAUUCUCAUUGCAACAACAGUUCAAGAUCUGCAUACAGAUUAUAUAAAUAAUUUAUUGAGCUGUGCAUUUGGAAAUCUAUGCAGCUCUUGCGGAAUGCCUCUGUUAGUAUUUCUUAGUUCAAGAUAUGAGACUAAAUGACCCUGCAAUUCUGCGGAAGUCUGCUUCAACAUUUUGCCAUGCUGAUUCCGGUGCCUGAGCAUUUAGCGUAUAUAACCUGCCACGUCGAGCACAGCACACUGCUACAUUAUGCCGCUGAAACGUGGGGCUUUCGACUCUAUAUUCCAGCUCAUAGUAAUUAACAUUCGUCACAGAAUCCUUUCUCAAACUUGACCCUAUCAAAAUUCCUUUCACGUCUGGUUGUCGGGACGACGAUGUGAUCGUCUUCACCACAGGUUCACCCACUUCCUUUGGUCCUCCAAAUGCUUCAAUCCUACAACGAAAUGCAACAUUAUGUGUGUUGUGCAUCACAUUUACUCGGAUAGUUUACUUGUAAUGUUGAAGUAUACUCACGAGAAAUCAAGAGGAACGGGGGAGACGAUGACACUAACAUUGAGCUCGCCAUUUGAGCCCGGCGGACCGAAAGCAACAACAGGUUCAUUUACGUUCUUGCGCCGCCGAUCACUGGAUUUUAUUGGAGGUGGAUCAAGUGAUCUCUCAAAUUCUUUCUUCUCAGCUGCUCUAUACAGCAGAGUCUGGUCUCCGACCCAACUUGCUGGAUAUACGAAUUCUACACAGCAUUAAAAGGCUUUAGCUUUCUUUGAAACCAAACAGAGCUUCGAAACAAAUUCAUUUAACAGUGACUUACUAACCAAAUCCUUCAUUUGUCUGAAUACAACGGCUAUACCCUUCAAUUGGAUAAAGCACAUCCAGCUUAAGAUUCCGACCACUUUCUGGUGAUAACCCGAGAAGAAAACUUGUAAUUCCACCAAAAUUUGCGCCAACAGCCACUAGAGAAGCUGAGCCAGCACCCACUAGUAGCCUCCGGCGGAAUGUUGAUGCCAACGGCGCAAAUUGCUCUGCCGGAGGCCUUGCUCCCUCUUGGAUACUGUCUUUCCUCUCACCGGAUGACUGUGUCAUGUAAAUCCUGUGGAGUGAGGCAUUUUUGCAUGCAUAAAAGCAGAAUUGCAAUGCCAUAGGUCUGUUUUCUGUCGUUGUUGACUUGCGGCACCUUAAUUUGCUAGCUUAAAGAUUAUUCACGUUAUCCCCUACAUGGGUCAUUUUGGUGACCACUUCUGAAACUUGGCCGAAGUGGUAAACACAACAACUACACGACUCGUGCCUCGUUAGUUUGAGUGGCAACUCUAUCCAAUCUUGGUGGUUCUCAAUUUU